Choloepus didactylus (southern two-toed sloth) is the source of this 972-nucleotide long non-coding RNA. RefSeq lists it as uncharacterized. Lineage: Eukaryota; Metazoa; Chordata; Mammalia; Pilosa; Megalonychidae. The transcript is spliced from 4 exons. The record is from RefSeq and is a predicted model, not a curated record.
AAUUUUAAAUCCUUUAAUACACCUCCUCAGAAAUUGUUUUGGAAAAUUGCAAAAGACGCACAAGAAACAAUAAGACAGAAGGGGCAUCUAAUCCAGAUAGCGUGAGGGAUUAAGGGAGGGCUUCCUGGAUUCUAGAGAAAAACAAGUAGCAUUUACCCAAUUAAUCAAACAACGGGAAAUAAAGGGAGUUGCAUAUGAAGGCAUGGUAGCAUGAGAGAACCUUAGCUGAAAAUGUUUAACUCAUUAUGAGCUUGCAAAUACGGCUAGUCCUAAAUAGAAACCUUCAGAUCUUUGUAAAAUGGGUGGAGGGGGAGGAGUUAUGUUACAAGGGAAACAUAGUGCCCUCAAACCUCUACUGCCAAAUAUUUCCUGAAAGCGAGAAGAGAGAAUAACCUGUGCUCAGACUGCUGGGAGGCCAAUGGGUAGAACCUCUUGGGCCUGGCUGAAGACAUGUUCAUUCUUAAGGUCUUCCUUUAUUCAUUCAACCAAUAUUUUCAGGGUGUCUACUUUAUGCUAGAUACUGUUCUAGAUACUGGAGACAGAGCAAUGAACAAAACAGAUCAACAUUCCUACUCUCAUGGAACUUUCAGAAUGAAGUUUAUCCAGCUCUAGCAAAGACCCACCUGGCAGAUAUGAAUUAUCAUCUGGGAUCCCUGUGCUAGCAUGAAGAACUUCCUUUACUAUUUUUUGUAAGGAAAGAAAACUCCUUACGGAGCUAAAGAUAUUUUCUUCAAGGGGCAUUGAAGUUUCCCCUGACUAUAAUUUUCAAAUUUUAAAGGUCUGCUAUCAGGUUUUUUUUCAACAGAGUUCAAACUAGUAACUUAAAAAGAAUUUGCCCCUUUUCUUCAACCACAUCGGAAUUUAGGAAUCGCCAAAAUGAGUUUUCAACAUAACUUUUAAAAUUGGUACUGGAACUGCUGCCUAGAGAGGAACAUCCUGGGAGAAAGCCAUUUUGAAACCAGAACUUUGGAG